ACAGCCUUUUACUAAUAAUUCUAAACGGGCCAAAGCCAUAAAAAAUGCCAUUGAAGUUCUUAUAUCGACAGAGGGAAAUAUUAAUAGUUCUGAAACUACACUGUCCCAGAUGUGAUUAGGUUUAUUAUGUGCUCAAAGGGCAUUCAAAAAACUGUUGGCUUAGUAAACUAAAAGGUGUCAGUGUAAUUUAAAAUAAAUACUUUUAUAUAUAGGCUAUAUUAAUUACUUAAUUUCAUUCUAAAAUACUUUAUUUCAUUCAUAUCUUUUAUUUAUUGGAGACUCUUUUGGUUGAAGGAAGCAGCAUAAGUUUAUUUUAUCAUAAGUUUAUUUUAUGUUUAAUUUAAAAUGUUAUUAAAAAGUAACCUGAGCAGGUGUACAAGUCUGAACUGUCGAUGCUGCACUUAGUCCAAUGUGUAAAAGGGAAAUUA
Long non-coding RNA from Labrus mixtus (cuckoo wrasse), 428 nucleotides. RefSeq lists it as uncharacterized. The transcript has 2 exons. Lineage: Eukaryota; Metazoa; Chordata; Actinopteri; Labriformes; Labridae. The record is from RefSeq and is a predicted model, not a curated record.